This 1029-nucleotide ribosomal RNA is filed under the name Serratia sp. NSI-8. Its description in RNAcentral is "bacterial SSU rRNA". It matches the Rfam family "Bacterial small subunit ribosomal RNA", at positions 28 to 1051 of the family's 1533-position model. The record is from RNAcentral. Lineage: Bacteria; Pseudomonadati; Pseudomonadota; Gammaproteobacteria; Enterobacterales; Yersiniaceae.
AUUGAACGCUGGCGGCAGGCCUAACACAUGCAAGUCGAGCGGUAGCACAAGGAGCUUGCUCCUGGGUGACGAGCGGCGGACGGGUGAGUAAUGUCUGGGAAACUGCCCGAUGGAGGGGGAUAACUACUGGAAACGGUAGCUAAUACCGCAUAACGUCUUCGGACCAAAGUGGGGGACCUUCGGGCCUCACACCAUCGGAUGUGCCCAGAUGGGAUUAGCUAGUAGGUGAGGUAAUGGCUCACCUAGGCGACGAUCCCUAGCUGGUCUGAGAGGAUGACCAGCCACACUGGAACUGAGACACGGUCCAGACUCCUACAGGAGGCAGCAGUGGGGAAUAUUGCACAAUGGGCGCAAGCCUGAUGCAGCCAUGCCGCGUGUGUGAAGAAGGCCUUCGGGUUGUAAAGCACUUUCAGCGAGGAGGAAGGGUUCAGUGUUAAUAGCACUGUUCAUUGACGUUACUCGCAGAAGAAGCACCGGCUAACUCCGUGCCAGCAGCCGCGGUAAUACGGAGGGUGCAAGCGUUAAUCGGAAUUACUGGGCGUAAAGCGCACGCAGGCGGUUUGUUAAGUCAGAUGUGAAAUCCCCGAGCUUAACUUGGGAACUGCAUUUGAAACUGGCAAGCUAGAGUCUUGUAGAGGGGGGUAGAAUUCCAGGUGUAGCGGUGAAAUGCGUAGAGAUCUGGAGGAAUACCGGUGGCGAAGGCGGCCCCCUGGACAAAGACUGACGCUCACGUGCGAAAGCGUGGGGAGCAAACAGGAUUAGAUACCCUGGUAGUCCACGCUGUAAACGAUGUCGACUUGGAGGUUGUGCCCUUGAGGCGUGGCUUCCGGAGCUAACGCGUUAAGUCGACCGCCUGGGGAGUACGGCCGCAAGGUUAAAACUCAAAUGAAUUGACUGGGGCCCGCACAAGCGGUGGAGCAUGUGGUUUAAUUCGAUGCACGCGAGACCUUACUACUCUUGACAUCCACAGAACUUUCCAGAGAUGGAUUGGUGCCUUCGGGAACUGGUGAGACAGGUGCUGCAUGGCCU